CGCGCAGGCGGUCCUUUAAGUCUGAUGUGAAAGCCCACGGCUCAACCGUGGAGGGUCAUUGGAAACUGGGGGACUUGAGUGCAGAAGAGGAGAGUGGAAUUCCACGUGUAGCGGUGAAAUGCGUAGAGAUGUGGAGGAACACCAGUGGCGAAGGCGACUCUCUGGUCUGUAACUGACGCUGAGGCGCGAAAGCGUGGGGAGCAAACA
This 207-nucleotide ribosomal RNA is filed under the name uncultured bacterium. Its description in RNAcentral is "partial 16S ribosomal RNA". It matches the Rfam family "Bacterial small subunit ribosomal RNA", at positions 568 to 774 of the family's 1533-position model. The record is from RNAcentral.